AGUGAACGCUGGCGGUAGGCCUAACACAUGCAAGUCGAACGGCAGCACAGUAAGAGCUUGCUCUUACGGGUGGCGAGUGGCGGACGGGUGAGGAAUACAUCGGAAUCUACUUUUUCGUGGGGGAUAACGUAGGGAAACUUACGCUAAUACCGCAUACGACCUACGGGUGAAAGCAGGGGAUAUUCGGACCUUGCGCGAUUGAAUGAGCCGAUGUCGGAUUAGCUAGUUGGCGGGGUAAAGGCCCACCAAGGCGACGAUCCGUAGCUGGUCUGAGAGGAUGGUCGGCCACACGGGAACGUAGACACGGUCAAGACGCCUACGGGAGGGAGCAGACGGGAAUAUUGGACAAUGGGGGCAAGCCUGAUCCAGCCAGACCGCGUGUGUUAAGAAGGCCUUCGGGUUGUAAAGCCCUUUUGUUGGGAAAGAAAAGCAGCAGGUUAAUACCCCGCUGUUCUGACGGUACCCAAAGAAUAAGCACCGGCUAACUUCGUG
Molecule: ribosomal RNA, 492 nt
Filed under: uncultured bacterium
Lineage: Bacteria
Description: partial 16S ribosomal RNA
Rfam family: Bacterial small subunit ribosomal RNA
Source: RNAcentral